UUUUUUAUUAGUAUACUUAUUACAAUUACCUUCCAAGUAAGAAAUUUCUUAUUGAAAUGCUUAAAUAGGUUAAGUUAA
This 78-nucleotide transfer RNA is filed under the name Arion vulgaris. RNAcentral describes it as "tRNA-Gly". Lineage: Eukaryota; Metazoa; Mollusca; Gastropoda; Stylommatophora; Arionidae. The record is from RNAcentral.